GCCAGCUGUGUACUCUUUGAUGCUCGCUGCAGGCGGAAACAUGGAACAAAAUCCCUCCGGCGAGGCGGAUGGAGAAAGCAACAGCGCUUGUCUCUAAAUAGUUCGGUUGCUACACUAUAGGCAGUUAAAGACACUGACCUUCUCAGAUGGAAAGCUGACAACUAGGGUUUGAAACCCGAAUGUCGGGUGAAAAGGUGAGUUCCUGUUCUUGCUCCAGCUCCUAUGCACCAACUAUGAGUAGAUAAAUAGGUACCACUUUGGUGGGAAGAUAACAGUAUUAUGUUGCCUCAGUAUAUAAUCAUGACCAAGGAAGUGUCUUUGGACAAUGCUAGCUUCCUCAAUUAAGAAAUGGAGAUGAGUAUCACCCCUUAGAGUUGGUCAUGAUUUGAUAGAGAAAACAUUUACCUUUUAAUAGCAAUAUGGAAGUACUCUCCCAUUGCCCUUCUUCUAGAAUUUUUAUUUUUUUUACUUUCUGGUCCUUAACAUGGUGGUCUUUCCUGAUAGUUCAAGUAUUAAACCAGGCCCAACAUUAGUUAGCUGUUUGCUACCAUGUGCCAGAUUUUGAAGUCCUGUUUCUUCUGCCAUUGUGAACCCCAAAAUAACAGCUGUGCGCCAGUGGUGAGUUCCGGCGUCCUGAACGCAUGCAUGAACACGCUCAGCACGCGCAUGCAUCUUACCAUUCAGCAAUGCCCCCGCGAGCCUCUGCAAUGCUCCACCUGCUCAGCGGAGUGUUGUGCAGGCGCUAUACGUGCCAUGCGCGGAAGCACUGAAGAGUUUAAAGACAGAUAUGCCUUCCAUCAUCUCAAGCUAUCAGAUCCUGCUUUAUAGACCAGUAAGUAAUAUAGUAUCAAUUAAAACUGUGAUUUUAAUCUUUGAACUUCUACAACCAGGUGGAGUCUUCUUGUGCAGAACGAAGCAUUCUAAACUUCCCUUUUUGUUUAGAAAGUAGUAAGAAACAAGAAUCAUUCUAUGCAACUGAACAUAUUUUGCCCAUUGUGCUAGCUAAAAUCAACAGAAACUUAAUUCCUCCCAUCAUAACUGCUCCAAUACAUAGGAAAUGCUAUAAGUUUCUUACUCUAUGAUACUUUCAUAAACACUCCCUUCCACACCAAAAAAAAACAUGGAAAAUUGGAAUUGGUGAAUCACUUCUUUCUCACUUCUCAAAUUGUUCAAGGCUUCUUUAGAUGCACUUCCGUGACAUUUGCUAUCUUUAGAUGUUAUUUAGGGUUUCUUUAGAUGCUCUUCUGUGACAUAUUUCAUGAACAAUGAAAUAAUAAUAAUAGUGUCCUUUUUCAGAAACCCACUAAUUGUAAAAGAAACCCUAUAUGUUGAAAUAUGGCAAACUUGAUCGAUUAAGAAUGAACAAUCAUUAUAGAUGUUUUUCCAUUUGUCAAAAUAUAGAUCGGUUAUUAUCAAUUUUAUGGGGGGGAAAUGAAUUCCAAGACUACAACCACUCACUUAUAUAAAAUGUAUCAGCCUUCAUAUUAUCCCAAAGAGAUUCCUACACAUUCCCUCAAUGCAGCAGUUGAAUGUAACACAUCAGAAUCGUUAUUACCAAAGAAGAUCAAUGGGAAACAUAAUGUUUUGUAUUUCUGGAUUGUCAUUUACUGUUGAUAAAGCUCAUUUGGCAUUUUCAGUGAUCUCCAAAUUGGGCACAGUUCCCAAUUUCUACUGAUGUACAUUAUAAAAAUUGUAUUAAAAAUAUCCCCUAUGUUCAAGUUUCCUUUUUCUGCAAGUUUUGUAACAUUCCCUAAAGCUGUUUUUGUUUUUGCUUGGUAAUUAUUACAGAUUCAAGAAGAAUGUGGAUUUCAUAAAUUAUAAUGAAAACUAGAGUUUGGACUGCUUUAAACAAUUUCUCCAGUGUUUAAGACCUAUUGGUUCCCAAAUAGUUUACUUCUCAUGAAAUUAAUUGUCAUAAGCAUGAGACAGUUUACCCAAUUAAUGUUUACAUGUUUGAAAACUAUGUGGCAUAUUAGAAGAUUGUAGCAAAACAGUUUGACAUGGAAUUGGUUUUCAGUUAUGUUGUGAACUAAUUUCAAUGUCAAACUGUUAUUGCCACAUUUCUGUGAUUAUCUUUAGAGAACACUGUCGGUGACAUAUAAUCUGUGGGCUGAAGUAAUAUUUUUAAAAGCAGACUUUCUUGUAUGACUUGAAAAGCAUAGUACAAAUAAGGGAGUCUGCGGCCUUCAGUUGCAUCUCAGCCUUUUCAAGGUGUCCGAAGUUGUUGGGAAUUAAACUUUAUACUUCACCUUAUCAUAAGAGUAAAUCCCAACCCUGAGCAAAUAAGACUGCAAGUAGAGGACAGAUGGGCAGAGACCCCACAAUGGUAUUACAGUUUAUGUGGUGCUAAUCUGAAAAUAAAUGCAUUAAUUAAGCCACAGUGAUAUUUUCUCCUCAACAUGUUUGACAUGUCUGUCGAAUAUUAUUUUUUAAAAAAUAACUCCACAUAGUGUGUUAAUAGAUUGGUCAAUUUAAAGAGACAGAAUAAAUUUUGAACAUCCAUUUAUUUCAUUUAAGACAAAACAGAACUCAAAUUUACUGAAAGUCUACCAAGAUGCUUUUCUGAGGGUUUCCUGUAGCUCAGCACUGGAAACCUAUCUUGAAUUUCAGUGUACAGAUAAUAUCCUAUUAAGUUGUUCAGCUUUCAAAAUGGAUGUGAAAGAAGCAAUGUGUCAGGGCUGUCUUGUUUAAUUAAUUCUGAUGACAAAAAAGGCACAAAUGAACACUGCCAAAUCAUCCUAUGAUGAACAAUUUCCUUUUCUUAAUUCCUAUAGGACAAUAAAUGCUGAAAGAUUCAAAAGACAAAUUGAGACACUCCACAUUUUAUUUUGAUUAAAUAUGAUAAAGGUUCCUUGAUAAUCUGAAAUCAUAAGUGUCUCUUCAUAAAAAUUGAUGAAGUGCUGAUUAAUAUCUUAACAUACAAUCUGUUUAAAUCUGUUUAUAAUCAACAUGUGUUUUUUUCUGGGGGAUAAUGCUUUUACAACAUUUAAAAUUGCGUACUCUUGGUAAAAAUAUAAAACUUUUUUUGAUUUUAAGAUUUACUUUUCUCUUUGUAAUGUGGCUGUAUGAACACAGAUUAGACAAUGAAACCCCAACAUUUUGAAAUAAGUGGCCUUAUUUGGAAUUUUAAAACCAUGUGUUGCACGCAUUCAGGUAAGCAUGGAGUAUUUACUGCAUUGAUGAAGCUAAAGGAAAGGUAAGUGCCCCCCAAAGCAAAACAGACACAUUCCAAAUGACACUUUUGUGCAUGUUUAACACAAUGCAAAUCAUUACUCUGGGACUCCACAAUUACAGUUUAAAAUGUUGAUAAGUCUUUAAUAAAGAACUCUAUUUGUAUAAUCUGGAAUAACUAUAGAUCUGGAAAAUU
Molecule: long non-coding RNA, 3367 nt
Organism: Thamnophis elegans (Western terrestrial garter snake)
Lineage: Eukaryota; Metazoa; Chordata; Lepidosauria; Squamata; Natricidae
Exons: 3
Source: RefSeq, a predicted model, not a curated record